Molecule: ribosomal RNA, 439 nt
Filed under: uncultured bacterium
Lineage: Bacteria
Description: partial 16S ribosomal RNA
Rfam family: Bacterial small subunit ribosomal RNA
Source: RNAcentral
CUACGGGCCGCUGCAGUGAGGAAUAUUGCACAAUGGGGGGAACCCUGAUGCAGCAACGCCGCGUGGAGGAUGACGCAUUUCGGUGUGUAAACUCCUUUUAUAUGUCAAGAAAAUGACGGUAGCAUAUGAAUAAGCACCGGCUAACUCCGUGCCAGCAGCCGCGGUAAUACGGAGGGUGCAAGCGUUACUCGGAAUCACUGGGCGUAAAGGACGCGUAGGCGGGUUGGAAAGUCAGGUGUGAAAUCCCACAGCUUAACUGUAGAACUGCACUUGAAACUUCUAAUCUAGAGUAUGGGAGGGGAAGAUGGAAUUAGUGGUGUAGGGGUAAAAUCCGUAGAUAUCACUAGGAAUACCUAAAGCGAAGGCGAUCUCCUGGAACAUUACUGACGCUAAGGCGUGAAAGCGUGGGGAGCAAACAGGAUUAGAUACCCCCGUAGUC